Molecule: ribosomal RNA, 239 nt
Filed under: Klebsiella pneumoniae subsp. pneumoniae KPNIH21
Lineage: Bacteria; Pseudomonadati; Pseudomonadota; Gammaproteobacteria; Enterobacterales; Enterobacteriaceae
Description: partial 23S ribosomal RNA
Rfam family: Bacterial large subunit ribosomal RNA
Source: RNAcentral
GGAGUGGACGCAUCACUGGUGUUCGGGUUGUCAUGCCAAUGGCACUGCCCGGUAGCUAAAUGCGGAAGAGAUAAGUGCUGAAAGCAUCUAAGCACGAAACUUGCCCCGAGAUGAGUUCUCCCUGAGACUAUAAGUCUCCUGAAGGAACGUUAAAGACGAUGACGUUGAUAGGCCGGGUGUGUAAGCGCAGCGAUGCGUUGAGCUAACCGGUACUAAUGAACCGUGAGGCUUAACCUUAC